UGUAAUCGUCAAGCCUCUGGAUAACUGCACUGAAGAAUGGCACCUUGUCGAGGGCAACAAUGCCUUGAGGUGAACGUCCCUCCCUCUGAGAAAGGAGGGGGCGGGGUGCAAGAGACAAUGAGAAGACAUAAUGUAUAGUGCAAACAUAAUGGCGGAAAAAGAGACGGCAAGAUAAAAUAAAAAUAAUCUAAAAAACGCUUUCAGUAAAAGAAAUUUAUUGCGCCAAGGCAAGAAAAAAUAUUCCUGCGACCGACAGGAAUGACGCCUUGAUCAUGCGGGAAAUAAAGGAUGAAGCUCCAAGCCGAUCGCUUUGUUCCAAUGCAAUUGCCCAAAAUGCCGGGCCAUACAUAUGACGAGAUGCUCUCAACCGCUUGCCAGCGAAUCGUCUGCCAACCAGGAUUUGAAUAAAUGGGAUCCGGAAUCGUCGGAUGAGUGAGUUCCCUCUGGAUAGCCUCGAAGCAGCCGAGCUUCCUCCGACGAAGACGAAGGUAACUCGUUUGCAGCUGUUAGCUACAUUUCGCGAGCAAAUACGCUCCUUCAAUCCUUAUUGCAUAAAAACAUAAUUUAGUCCCACUAGUUCACAUUACAAUGUAACAUCUGUUGCCAGCACUGAUUUUGAAUUUUCCAUUUACAGCUCAUCCAUCUUCCAUCAGGAAUCCAAGACCUGCAAGUCGAACGUCUUUUAGUAUUGCGACGAAGAAAACUACGGCUAUGCAUCCAGCAAACGUUAAGACUCCCAUUCCAGUACGCAGUGCCGACUAAAAAGAGGUUGUGCUUCAAGGAGAAAUAGUGACUGGUUUCAAGGAGAAUGACAACCACACAAGAUCCCAAUCACUGCCAACAGAAGAAUAAAAUAAGAAGUGGAUAAAACUUUGCUAGAUUUUAUGCACAAGGUAAUAAAAACCUCGACUAUUGAACAAACGGUAGAGUAGGAGAAUUUGGAGGAAAAAAUUCCAAGUGUGGGAGCCCCAUUUGUUCAUGCAUAUUUAAUGUAAAUUCUGUACAGUUA
Phycodurus eques (leafy seadragon) is the source of this 1009-nucleotide long non-coding RNA. RefSeq lists it as uncharacterized. The record is from RefSeq and is a predicted model, not a curated record. The transcript is spliced from 3 exons. Lineage: Eukaryota; Metazoa; Chordata; Actinopteri; Syngnathiformes; Syngnathidae.